CCUUCUGGCGAUCUCUUAAAAACAAAGCCUCAUUCUUUCAGAAAAGAGGGUUUUUUAAGAAAACAGCAGCUUUAUACUCAGUGUGGUUCUCUCUUAAGAGCCUCCUUUUUCUAUAAAAAGGUAAGUUUAUUUAAAAGCGUGCUUUUUGUUUGAGAGUUUACCUUAUUUAAUUUAAGAGUUUGCUCUUUUAUCUAAGAGUUUUCCGGGGAAGGUUUUCCGGUUUAUCCCGGAGGGCUUGUAGCUCAGUUGGUUAGAGCGCGCGCUUGAUAAGCGUGAGGUCGGAGGUUCAAGUCCUCCCAGGCCCACCAAGUUAGAAUUACUUAUUGGAAUUGCUUAACCCACUGUUGAGAAACUCCCUCCUUUAUGAGAGAAGUUCUAAAAAUGAGAAAAGCUCUUGAGAGCCUCAAAUGACAGACUUCAAAUUCUCGAUAAACUUUAAAAGUGUUCGUAAAAUGUUCAUGAUAUAUUC
RNAcentral lists this unclassified non-coding RNA (469 nucleotides) under Bartonella vinsonii subsp. arupensis. RNAcentral describes it as "partial 16S-23S ribosomal RNA intergenic spacer". The stretch from base 232 to 305 matches the Rfam family "tRNA". The record is from RNAcentral. Lineage: Bacteria; Pseudomonadati; Pseudomonadota; Alphaproteobacteria; Hyphomicrobiales; Bartonellaceae.